UGGAGGCAGCAGUGGGGAAUAUUGGGCAAUGGGCGAAAGCCUGACCCAGCAACGCCGCGUGCACGAUGAAGGCCUUCGGGUCGUAAAGUGCUUUUCUGAGGAAUGAGUAAGGACAGUACCUCAGGAAUAAGCCUCGGCUAACUACGUGCCAGCAGCCGCGGUAAAACGUAGGAGGCAAGCGUUAUCCGGAUUUACUGGGCGUAAAGCGUGUGCAGGCGGUUCGGCAAGUUGGAUGUGAAAGCUCCUGGCUUAACUAGGAGAGGUCGUUCAAUACUACCGAACUUGAAGGCAUCAGAGGAAGAUGGAAUUCCCGGUGUAGUGGUGAAAUGCGUAGAUAUCGGGAGGAACACCAGUGGCGAAGGCGGUCUUCUGGGAUGUUCUUGACGCUCAUACACGAAAGCUAGGGUAGCGAACGGGAUUAGAUACCCCGGU
Molecule: ribosomal RNA, 432 nt
Filed under: uncultured bacterium
Lineage: Bacteria
Description: bacterial SSU rRNA
Rfam family: Bacterial small subunit ribosomal RNA
Source: RNAcentral